Molecule: ribosomal RNA, 408 nt
Filed under: Bacillus mojavensis
Lineage: Bacteria; Bacillati; Bacillota; Bacilli; Caryophanales; Bacillaceae
Description: bacterial SSU rRNA
Rfam family: Bacterial small subunit ribosomal RNA
Source: RNAcentral
GUAACACGUGGGUAACCUGCCUGUAAGACUGGGAUAACUCCGGGAAACCGGGGCUAAUACCGGAUGCUUGUUUGAACCGCAUGGUUCAAACAUAAAAGGUGGCUUCGGCUACCACUUACAGAUGGACCCGCGGCGCAUUAGCUAGUUGGUGAGGUAAUGGCUCACCAAGGCAACGAUGCGUAGCCGACCUGAGAGGGUGAUCGGCCACACUGGGACUGAGACACGGCCCAGACUCCUACGGGAGGCAGCAGUAGGGAAUCUUCCGCAAUGGACGAAAGUCUGACGGAGCAACGCCGCGUGAGUGAUGAAGGUUUUCGGAUCGUAAAGCUCUGUUGUUAGGGAAGAACAAGUACCGUUCGAAUAGGGCGGUACCUUGACGGUACCUAACCAGAAAGCCACGGCUAACUA